This 2538-nucleotide ribosomal RNA is filed under the name Torrubiella flava. RNAcentral describes it as "SSU rRNA". It matches the Rfam family "Eukaryotic small subunit ribosomal RNA". Lineage: Eukaryota; Fungi; Ascomycota; Sordariomycetes; Hypocreales; Cordycipitaceae. The record is from RNAcentral.
AUGCAUGUCUAAGUAUAAGCAAUUGUACAGCGAAACUGCGAAUGGCUCAUUAUAUAAGUUAUCGUUUAUUUGAUAGUGCCUUACUACUUGGAUAACCGUGGUAAUUCUAGAGCUAAUACAUGCUAAAAAUCCCGACUCCGGAAGGGAUGUAUUUAUUAGAUUAAAAACCAAUGCCCUCUGGGCUCCUUGGUGAUUCAUGAUAACUCUUCGAAUCGCACGGCCUUGCGCCGGCGAUGGUUCAUUCAAAUUUCUUCCCUAUCAACUUUCGAUGUUUGGGUAUUGGCCAAACAUGGUCGCAACGGGUAACGGAGGGUUAGGGCUCGACCCCGGAGAAGGAGCCUGAGAAACGGCUACUACAUCCAAGGAAGGCAGCAGGCGCGCAAAUUACCCAAUCCCGAUUCGGGGAGGUAGUGACAAUAAAUACUGAUACAGGGCUCUUUUGGGUCUUGUAAUUGGAAUGAGUACAAUUUAAAUCCCUUAACGAGGAACAAUUGGAGGGCAAGUCUGGUGCCAGCAGCCGCGGUAAUUCCAGCUCCAAUAGCGUAUAUUAAAGUUGUUGUGGUUAAAAAGCUCGUAGUUGAACCUUGGGCCUGGCUGGCCGGUCCGCCUCACCGCGUGCACUGGUCCGGCCGGGCCUUUCCCUCUGUGGAACCCCAUGCUCUUCACUGGGCGUGGCGGGGAAACAGGACUUUUACUUUGAAAAAAUUAGAGUGCUCCAGGCAGGCCUAUGCUCGAAUACAUUAGCAUGGAAUAAUGAAAUAGGACGCGCGGUUCUAUUUUGUUGGUUUCUAGGACCGCCGUAAUGAUUAAUAGGGACAGUCGGGGGCAUCAGUAUUCAAUUGUCAGAGGUGAAAUUCUUGGAUCUAUUGAAGACUAACUACUGCGAAAGCAUUUGCCAAGGAUGUUUUCAUUAAUCAGGAACGAAAGUUAGGGGAUCGAAGACGAUCAGAUACCGUCGUAGUCUUAACCAUAAACUAUGCCGACUAGGGAUCGGACGAUGUUAUUUUUUGACGCGUUCGGCACCUUGCGAGAAAUCAAAGUGCUUGGGCUCCAGGGGGAGUAUGGUCGCAAGGCUGAAACUUAAAGAAAUUGACGGAAGGGCACCACCAGGGGUAAACCGCUUCAUGCAGCCGCAGUAGCUCUGCUCCAGAAAGCAGCCCGAAAGGGUCAGUGGUGUUCCUGUCCGCGCUCCGGCGCGGCGAACCAAGUGCUAGUCUCCCCUGGAGGCGACACCCUCAAAUUGCGGGAAACUCCUAAAGCCAGUGUCACCAAGCCGGCGUCGAAAGGGCGCCGGUGGCCGGGGUAACGACCUAGGGUACGGUAAAAGCACACUGGAUAGCGCAAUGGACGAUCCGCAGCCAAGCCUCGUCGCCGCAGGGCACGGGGAAGGUCCAGAGACUUGAUGGGGGUGGGUGAGGAUUCGGGGCGUCGAGAUCGAACCCUGGCAUUCAAGCUUAAGAUAAAGUCCGUCUGUGCGUGAAAGCGCACAGGUGCUACCGAAAAACGGGAGCCUGCGGCUUAAUUUGACUCAACACGGGGAAACUCACCAGGUCCAGACACAAUGAGGAUUGACAGAUUGAGAGCUCUUUCUUGAUUUUGUGGGUGGUGGUGCAUGGCCGUUCUUAGUUGGUGGAGUGAUUUGUCUGCUUAAUUGCGAUAACGAACGAGACCUUAACCUGCUAAAUAGCCCGUACUGCUCAGGCAGUACGCCGGCUUCUUAGAGGGACUAUCGGCUCAAGCCGAUGGAAGUUUGAGGCAAUAACAGGUUGACCUACACAGGCCUGUCACAGUAGUCCUCGUUAAAAUAUCUGCUAGUCCAUGUAGCGUCUCUGCGGGGAAGCCCCCUACUAUCGGGCAGAGGGGACCCGAGAGGGUCCCAGUUACGGGCAACACCACCUGGUACAGGGGACGCCGACCCAGGCACGUCGGAGACGAUGUCCUGGAGGCCAAUCCUGUGGCGAGCUCGGGUCGCGCCGAGCCGUCGCAACGUGCGGAAAGGGGUGGGCUGGCAUUCCAUGCCGGCUUAAGGUACGUACUAAUCCCAUGGGAAACCAUGCCCGUGCAGCGAGGCCCGAUAGGCUAACCUGCACGGGAGCCGACCGGACCUGGCGUCCAUCUCGGCUGGGUCCUCCUGCGGCGGCACCUGUGCCCUGCAGGGGACGGAAAUGCUGUGAUGCCCUUAGAUGUUCUGGGCCGCACGCGCGCUACACUGACGGAGCCAGCGAGUGCUUCCUUGGCCGAAAGGCCCGGGUAAUCUUGUGAAACUCCGUCGUGCUGGGGAUAGAGCAUUGCAAUUAUUGCUCUUCAACGAGGAAUCCCUAGUAAGCGCAAGUCAUCAGCUUGCGUUGAUUACGUCCCUGCCCUUUGUACACACCGCCCGUCGCUACUACCGAUCGAAUGGCUCAGUGAGGCGUCCGGACUGGCCCAGGGAGGUGGGCAACUACCACCCAGGGCCGGAAAGCUCUCCAAACUCGGUCAUUUAGAGGAAGUAAAAGUCGUAACAAGGUCUCCGUUGGUGAACCAGCGGAGGGAUCAUUA